This 206-nucleotide ribosomal RNA is filed under the name uncultured bacterium. RNAcentral describes it as "partial 16S ribosomal RNA". It matches the Rfam family "Bacterial small subunit ribosomal RNA", at positions 129 to 334 of the family's 1533-position model. The record is from RNAcentral.
CCUUUAAGCGGGGAGUAGCCCAUAGAAAUGUGGAUUAAUACCCCGUAGUAAUGCUGGUUGGCAUCAACUGGUAUUUAAAGAUUUAUCACUUAAAGAUGGCUGUGCGGCUGAUUAGGUAGUUGGUGUGGGUAACGGCCCACCAAGCCAGCGAUCAGUAACUGGUGUGAGAGCACGACCAGUCACACGGGCACUGAGACACGGGCCCG